This 377-nucleotide unclassified non-coding RNA is filed under the name uncultured Rhodotorula. RNAcentral describes it as "sequence contains ITS1". The stretch from base 1 to 105 matches the Rfam family "5.8S ribosomal RNA", at positions 50 to 154 of the family's 154-position model. Lineage: Eukaryota; Fungi; Basidiomycota. The record is from RNAcentral.
GAAAUGUGAUAAGUAAUGUGAAUUGCAGAAUUCAGUGAAUCAUCGAAUCUUUGAACGCAUCUUGCGCUCUCUGGUAUUCCGGAGAGCAUGCCUGUUUGAGUGUCAUGAAACUCUCAACCCCCCGGGUUUUGUAAUGAAGCUCGGUUUAAAGGGGCUUGGAUCCUGAGCGUUGCCGGUUGUCUAACAAUCUGGCUCGUUCGAAAUACAUUAGCAAUCACGCUUACAGCGUUGGUUUGACUUGACGUGAUAGUAGUAAAACUCCGUCAAGGACAUCUCUUUGAGGUGACCGCGUUAUAAGCCGGAAUGCUUACAACCCCAAUUACAUAUAACAUUCAUGAUUAGACCUCAAAUCAGGUAGGACUACCCGCUGAACUUAA